GCAUAAUAAAUCGCCCUUUAAUUGUGGGCUUGUAUGAACGGAUAAACGAAGGCUUGACUGUCUCAAUUUUAAAAAUAAAAAUUGGCCUUUAGGUGAAAAGACCUAAAUUUUUUUAGAGGACAAAAAGACCCCGUAGAGCUCUGUGCUUUCAUUAAAAUAUGGCUUAUAACCUGUAUAAAGACAUUUUGAAAAAAGUUCUUGGCUGGGGCGGCUAUGGAGCAAACAACCUCCACAAACAUAAAAAAGAUACUUCAAAUCUUAUUUUAUGAUCCUAAUUUAGAUCAAAGAAAUUAGCUACCUCGGGGAUAACAGAUUAAUCCCUUUUGAGAGUUCACAUUGACAAAGGGUUUUGACACCUCGAUGUUGGCUUAGGGUCACCUUGGGGUCAGCAGCAGCCCCAAAAGGUAGGUUUGUUCAACCUUUAAAACCCU
Molecule: ribosomal RNA, 431 nt
Filed under: Terebellides sp. DZMB-HH 29970
Lineage: Eukaryota; Metazoa; Annelida; Polychaeta; Terebellida; Trichobranchidae
Description: partial 16S ribosomal RNA
Rfam family: Bacterial large subunit ribosomal RNA
Source: RNAcentral